Molecule: non-coding RNA, 89 nt
Organism: Mycena epipterygia
Lineage: Eukaryota; Fungi; Basidiomycota; Agaricomycetes; Agaricales; Mycenaceae
Source: the annotation of a GenBank genome assembly
GCACCGGUAGUGUAUGGCACACCCACCUAUUUUCUGAGAGCAAAGAAGUUGUUCAACGGUGAGACGGGGUUCGAUUCCCCGCUGGUGCA